UCUCCGUUGGUGAACCAGCGGAGGGAUCAUUACCGAGUUUACAACUCCCAAACCCCAUGUGAACCUUACCAAACGUUGCUUCGGCGGGAUGCCCCGGGCGCGGGCCGCUAGGCCUCAGCCCCGGAACCAGGCGCCCGCCGGAGGCCCAAACCAAACUCUUGUUUUUGUAGAAUCUUCUGAGUGGCCUUUUAGGCAAAAAAUGAAUCAAAACUUUCAACAACGGAUCUCUUGGUUCUG
This 237-nucleotide unclassified non-coding RNA is filed under the name plant metagenome. RNAcentral's name for it is "partial contains small subunit ribosomal RNA, internal transcribed spacer 1, and 5.8S ribosomal RNA". The record is from RNAcentral.